Small nucleolar RNA from Polyodon spathula (Mississippi paddlefish), 216 nucleotides. RefSeq annotates it as small nucleolar RNA SNORA73 family. The transcript has a single exon. The record is from RefSeq and is a predicted model, not a curated record. NCBI's taxonomy places the organism in Eukaryota, Metazoa, Chordata, Actinopteri, Acipenseriformes, Polyodontidae.
CCAACGUGGAUAUCCUGUGAGGUUGCUCGUGUGGCUCUGUCCUUGUGGCGUAAGGGAGCAGAGCACUUUUCAGUGCCAUUGACGUACAGUCCUGCUCCACGACAUUGGAGAGAAAGCCUGUCCCUGGCCUUCAGGCUGCUGAGGACAGCGUCCUGUGUAUUCCUACAUCUAUCCAGAGCCCUCGGCAAUUACUAGGGAGGUAAACGGUGAGGAAUU